This 940-nucleotide ribosomal RNA is filed under the name uncultured Virgibacillus sp. Its description in RNAcentral is "bacterial SSU rRNA". It matches the Rfam family "Bacterial small subunit ribosomal RNA", at positions 471 to 1410 of the family's 1533-position model. Lineage: Bacteria; Bacillati; Bacillota; Bacilli; Caryophanales; Bacillaceae. The record is from RNAcentral.
GACGGUACCUAAACCAGAAAGCCCCGGCUAACUACGUGCCAGCAGCCGCGGUAAUACGUAGGGGGCAAGCGUUGUCCGGAAUUAUUGGGCGUAAAGCGCGCGCAGGCGGUCCUUUAAGUCUGAUGUGAAAGCCCACGGCUCAACCGUGGAGGGUCAUUGGAAACUGGAGGACUUGAGUACAGAAGAGGAGAGUGGAAUUCCACGUGUAGCGGUGAAAUGCGUAGAGAUGUGGAGGAACACCAGUGGCGAAGGCGACUCUCUGGUCUGUAACUGACGCUGAGGCGCGAAAGCGUGGGGAGCGAACAGGAUUAGAUACCCUGGUAGUCCACGCCGUAAACGAUGAGUGCUAGGUGUUAGGGGGUUUCCGCCCCUUAGUGCUGAAGUUAACGCAUUAAGCACUCCGCCUGGGGAGUACGGCCGCAAGGCUGAAACUCAAAAGAAUUGACGGGGGCCCGCACAAGCGGUGGAGCAUGUGGUUUAAUUCGACGCAACGCGAAGAACCUUACCAGGUCUUGACAUCCUCUGCAAUCGGUAGAGAUACCGAGUUCCCUUCGGGGACAGAGUGACAGGUGGUGCAUGGUUGUCGUCAGCUCGUGUCGUGAGAUGUUGGGUUAAGUCCCGCAACGAGCGCAACCCUUGAUCUUAGUUGCCAGCAUUUAGUUGGGCACUCUAAGGUGACUGCCGGUGACAAACCGGAGGAAGGUGGGGAUGACGUCAAAUCAUCAUGCCCCUUAUGACCUGGGCUACACACGUGCUACAAUGGAUGGAACAAAGGGAAGCAAAACCGCGAGGUCAAGCAAAUCCCAUAAAACCAUUCUCAGUUCGGAUUGCAGGCUGCAACUCGCCUGCAUGAAGCCGGAAUCGCUAGUAAUCGCGGAUCAGCAUGCCGCGGUGAAUACGUUCCCGGGCCUUGUACACACCGCCCGUCACACCACGAGAG